RNAcentral lists this transfer RNA (46 nucleotides) under Pteridium aquilinum subsp. latiusculum. RNAcentral describes it as "partial tRNA-Leu". The record is from RNAcentral. Lineage: Eukaryota; Viridiplantae; Streptophyta; Polypodiopsida; Polypodiales; Dennstaedtiaceae.
GGUAGACGCUACGGACUCAAAAUCCGUUGGUUCCAAAGGACCGUGA